Molecule: ribosomal RNA, 254 nt
Filed under: uncultured bacterium
Lineage: Bacteria
Description: partial 16S ribosomal RNA
Rfam family: Bacterial small subunit ribosomal RNA
Source: RNAcentral
UACGUAGGGGGCAAGCGUUGUCCGGAUUUAUUGGGCGUAAAGAGCGUGUAGGCGGCCAUACAGGUCAGCUGUGAAAACUCGAGGCUCAACCUCGAGACGUCGGUUGAAACCGUAUGGCUAGAGUCCGGAAGAGGAGAGUGGAAUUCCCGGUGUAGCGGUGAAAUGCGCAGAUAUCGGGAAGAACACCCGUGGCGAAGGCGGCUCUCUGGGACGGUACUGACGCUGAGAACGCGAAAGCGUGGGGAGCGAACAGG